CAGCCGCCGCGGUAAUACGUAGGUGGCAAGCGUUGUCCGGAAUUAUUGGGCGUAAAGGGCUCGCAGGCGGUUUCUUAAGUCUGAUGUGAAAGCCCCCGGCUCAACCGGGGAGGGUCAUUGGAAACUGGGAAACUUGAGUGCAGAAGAGGAGAGUGGAAUUCCACGUGUAGCGGUGAAAUGCGUAGAGGUGUGGAGGAACACCAGUGGCGAAGGCGACUCUCUGGUCUGUAACUGACGCUGAGGAGCGAAAGCGUGGGGAGCGAACAGGAUUAGAUACCCCGGUAGUCCCUGUCUCUUAUAC
This 301-nucleotide ribosomal RNA is filed under the name uncultured bacterium. Its description in RNAcentral is "partial 16S ribosomal RNA". It matches the Rfam family "Bacterial small subunit ribosomal RNA", at positions 509 to 807 of the family's 1533-position model. The record is from RNAcentral.